CCUCCUCCAACCCCCGGAGUGUCCACAUGAGGAUAAUGAGGGCCCCCACCCAUGUGAGGCUCUAGAGUGCCAGUUCUUCUGAAGGUCUGCUCUCCUGGGCAUUGCUUGUUCCAAACUGCUGUUUGGUACAGCCUGGGCCACUGCCUUUCUGAAGAAUGUCACUGGCUUUGCUCCUUGUCACUACCAAAUGUGCCCAAAUGUGGCCACAGGCUUAACUUGAAAUUCCCCACAGAACAACUGGGAAAUGCCGCAAUGCUUAUGAUGGUAAUGAUGAUAGUGGUGAUGGAAAUGACAAUGAUGGUGAUGCUGCUGGUGGUGGUGGUGGUGGUGACUGAGGUGGUGGUGGUGGUGACUGAGGUAGCGGUGGUGGUGAUUGAGAUGGUGAUGAUUGAGAUGAUGGUGGUGAUUGAGAUGNNNNNNNNNNNNNNNNNNNNNNNNNUGAUUGAGAUGGUGAUGAUUGAGAUGAUGGUGGUGAUUGAGAUGAUGGUGGUGAUUGAGAUGGUGAUGAUUGAGAUGAUGGUGGUGAUUGAGAUGGUGAUGGUGAUUGAGAUGAUGAUGGUGUUUGAGAUGGUGGUGGUGAUUGAGAUGAUGGUGGUGGUGAUUGAGAUGAUGGUGGUGGUGACUGAGAUGGUGAUGGUUAUGACUGAGAUGGUGAUGAUUGAGAUGGUGGUGAUUGAGAUGGUGAUGGUGGUGAUUGAGGUGAUAGUGGUGGUGGUUGAUAUGGUGGUGGUGGUGAUUGAAUGGUGAUGAUUGAGAUGGUGAUGGUGAUGGUGGUGAUUGAGAUGGCGAUUGAGAUGGUGGUGAUUGAGACGGUAAUGAUUAUGACUGAGAUGGUGCUGAUGAUUGAGAUGGUGGUGGUGCUGAUGACUGAGAUGAUGAUGGUGGUGAUUGAGAUGGUGGUGCUGGUGGUGAGGGGGUCCUAGAGGGAGACUCAAAUCAACCGCUGCCCUAGCGCCCUUGGAGCACAGGAGAGCUCCCUCACCUCCCACCCUCCAGCUUGGCCUCCUCUCCCUCUGGACCAGGUUCUAGCUUUACGCUUGUGUAGCUCAAAGCCCAGCAAGAGGUUUUCCCAGAAGAGCAGCCUCCCUGUGGGCUGUCCCCGGGAGCAGCCAUUUCCACCUCUGCUUCACACGCAUGGCCCCUGCCUUGUCCCCAACAGCACUCGCUCAGCAGCCCCUCCCUCCCUGCACACUUCUUGAGCAUUCAAGACAUCGCUUGAAUCAAAAUGCAUUUUCCUCUGGCCUGAAGGCUGCUGACCCCUGGGAGCGGGCCCCGGCCACCUGUGCGUCCCUCC
RNAcentral lists this long non-coding RNA (1294 nucleotides) under Aotus nancymaae (Ma's night monkey). RNAcentral's name for it is "lncRNA (ENSANAG00000039388.1)". Lineage: Eukaryota; Metazoa; Chordata; Mammalia; Primates; Aotidae. The record is from RNAcentral.